Molecule: ribosomal RNA, 429 nt
Filed under: uncultured Gammaproteobacteria bacterium
Lineage: Bacteria; Pseudomonadati; Pseudomonadota; Gammaproteobacteria
Description: bacterial SSU rRNA
Rfam family: Bacterial small subunit ribosomal RNA
Source: RNAcentral
AGAGUUUGAUCCUGGCUCAGAUUGAACGCUGGCGGCAGGCCUAACACAUGCAAGUCGAACGGUAGCAGGAUGUGCUUGCACAUCGCUGACGAGUGGCGGACGGGUGAGUAAUGCUUGGGAACUUGCCUUUGCGAGGGGGAUAACAGUUGGAAACGACUGCUAAUACCGCAUAAUGUCUACGGACCAAACGGGGCUUAGACUCCGGCGCAGAGAGAGGCCCAAGUGAGAUUAGCUGGAUGGUGGGGUAAAGGCUCACCAAGGCAACGAUCUCUAGCUGUUCUGAGAGGAAGAUCAGCCACACUGGGACUGAGACACGGCCCAGACUCCUACGGGAGGCAGCAGUGGGGAAUAUUGCACAAUGGGGGAAACCCUGAUGCAGCCAUGCCGCGUGUGUGAAGAAGGCCUUCGGGUUGUAAAGCACUUUCAGUU